This 330-nucleotide unclassified non-coding RNA is filed under the name Hevea brasiliensis (rubber tree). The record is from RNAcentral. Lineage: Eukaryota; Viridiplantae; Streptophyta; Magnoliopsida; Malpighiales; Euphorbiaceae.
GAAGAAAAAUCACACCACCAAAAGUUAAAGACUCUAAGCAAAGAGAGACAUUAAUAACAAUGCCAAUAAUGAAAGGCAGAAUAAACAAGAUGAACUGAAGAACCAAUACAAUAAUAAAGCAUUACAACAGCUUUUUGUACAUGAUAAUCAAACAUUAAUGAACUUCAUUGUCAAUCAUAGCAAAGUAACCAAAUACUGAAAUAAGACAUAGCUAUAGCCAAUAGGCCAAGGUGUUCCUCAGUUUCCACUCUUGAAUGGAAUGGCUCUUAUGAUAACUUGGUGGUAUAAGGCAGCAAGUGCAGCUCCAAUGAAUGGUCCCACCCAGAAAAU